RNAcentral lists this ribosomal RNA (1244 nucleotides) under metagenome. Its description in RNAcentral is "bacterial LSU rRNA". It matches the Rfam family "Bacterial large subunit ribosomal RNA", at positions 1564 to 2817 of the family's 2925-position model. The record is from RNAcentral.
UGAAUACGAGAUGCUACGGCGUCGAAGCAGUCUAUGUCAUACUUCCAAGAAGAGCUUGCACUGUCAUAAACAAAUAAUGCCUGUACCAUAACCGACACAGGUGGGUAGGUAGAGUAUACUAAGGGGCGCGAGAUAACUCUCUCUAAGGAACUCGGCAAAAUGACUCCGUAACUUCGGGAGAAGGAGUGCCUUAUUUAUAAGGUUGCAAUAACAAGAUCCAAGCAACUGUUUACCAAAAACACAGGUCUCCGCUAAGUCGUAAGACGAUGUAUGGGGGCUGACGCCUGCCCAGUGCCAGAAGGUUAAAGAAGUUGGUUAGCAUCCGCGAAGCUGAUAACUGAAGCCCUGGUGAACGGCGGCCGUAACAAUAACGGUCCUAAGGUAGCGAAAUUCCUUGUCGGGUAAGUUCCGACCCGCACGAAAGGCGUAAUGAUUUGGAUACUGUCUCGGAGAGGGGCUCGGUGAAAUAGACUUGUCUGUGAAGAUGCGGACUACCUGCACCAGGACAGAAAGACCCUAUGAAGCUUUACUGUAACCUGAAAUUGAAAUUGGACUUUACUUGCGCAGUAUAGGUGGGAGGCGUUGAGAAUAUUCUUGCGGGAUUAUUGGAGCCAUCAGUGAGAUACCACUCUUGUAAUGUUAGAUUUCUAACUUUGUAUCAUUAUCUGGUCAAAGAACAGUUUCAGGCGGGCAGUUUGACUGGGGCGGUCGCCUCCUAAACGGUAACGGAGGCGCACAAAGGUUUCCUCUGAACGGGUAGAAAUCGUAUCUAGAGUGUAAAGGCAUAAGGAAGCUUGACUGUGAGACCUACAAGUCGAGCAGGGACGAAAGUCGGUCUUAGUGAUCUGACGGUGCUGAGUGGAAAGGCCGUCACUCAACGGAUAAAAGUUACUCUAAGGAUAACAGGCUGAUCUCCCCCAAGAGUUCACAUCGACGGGGAGGUUUGGCACCUCGAUGUCGGCUCAUCGCAUCCUGGGGCGGUAGUACGUCCCAAGGGUUGGGCUGUUCGCCCAUGAAAGCGGUACGCGAGCUGGGUUCAGAACGUCGUGAGACAGUUCGGUCCAUAUCCGGUGUAGGCGUUAGAAUAUUGAGAGGAGCCUUCUUUAGUACGAGAGGACCGAGAAGGACAUACCUCUGGUGUACCAGUUAUCGUGCCAACGGUAAACGCUGGGUAGCUAUGUGUGGAGUGGAUAACCGCUGAAAGCAUCUAAGUGGGAAGCCCACCUCAAGAUAGGUAUUCUCGC